UCGGUUAAAUCCAUGUGCUCAACACAUGGGCUGCCGAGAAUACUGCGUAGCUAGGGAGUGGGAGAGGUAGACGGUACUCGAUAGGAAGGGGUAAAAUCCUUUGAUCUAUUGAUGACCACCAGUGGCGAAGGCGGUCUACCAGAACACGUCCGACGGUGAGGGAUGAAAGCUGGGGGAGCAAACCGGAUUAGAUACCCGGGUAGUCCCAGCUGUAAACUAUGCAAACUCAGUGAUGCAUUGGCUUGUGGCCAAUGCAGUGCCGCAGAGAAGUCGUUAAGUUUGCCGCCUGGGAAGUACGUACGCAAGUAUGAAACUUAAAGGAAUUGGCGGGGGAGCACCACAAGGGGUGAAGCCUGCGGUUCAAUUGGAGUCAACGCCAGAAAUCUUACCCGGAGAGACAGCAGAAUGAAGGUCAAGCUGAAGACUUUACCAGACAAGCUGAGAAGUGGUGCAUGGCCGUCGCCAGCUCGUGCCGUGAGAUGUCCUGUUAAGUCAGGUAACGAGCGAGAUCCCUGCCUCUAGUUGCCACCAUUACUCUCAGGAGUAGUGGGGCGAAUUAGCGGGACUGCCGCAGUUAAUGCGGAGGAAGGAGGGGGCCACGGCAGGUCAGUAUGCCCUGAAACUCUGGGGCCACACGCGGGCUGCAAUGGUAGUGACAGUGAGUUCCUAAUCCGAAAGGAGGAGGUAAUCUUCAAACGCUACCACAGUUAUGAUUGAGGGCUGCAACUCGCCCUCAUGAAUAUGGAAUCCCUAGUAAC
Molecule: ribosomal RNA, 758 nt
Filed under: uncultured archaeon
Lineage: Archaea
Description: bacterial SSU rRNA
Rfam family: Archaeal small subunit ribosomal RNA
Source: RNAcentral